RNAcentral lists this ribosomal RNA (498 nucleotides) under uncultured bacterium. RNAcentral describes it as "partial 16S ribosomal RNA". It matches the Rfam family "Bacterial small subunit ribosomal RNA", at positions 29 to 523 of the family's 1533-position model. The record is from RNAcentral.
AUUGAACGCUGGCGGAAUGCUUUACACAUGCAAGUCGAGCGGCAGCGCGGGGCAACCUGGCGGCGAGCGGCGAACGGGUGAGUAAUGCAUCGGAACAUGUCCAUGGAUGGGGGAUAGCCCGGCGAAAGCCGGAUUAAUACCGCAUGAGCCCGAGAGGGGAAAGUGGGGGACCGCAAGGCCUCACGUCGAUGGGUUGGCCGAUGCCCGAUUAGCUAGUUGGUGAGGUAAUGGCUCACCAAGGCGAUGAUCGGUAGCUGGUCUGAGAGGAUGAUCAGCAACGCUGGGACAGAGACACGGCCCAGACUCCUACGGGAGGCAGCAGUGGGGAAUUUUGGACAAUGGGGGCAACCCUGAUCCAGCCAUUCCGCGUGAGUGAAGAAGGCCUUCGGGUUGUAAAGCUCUUUUGUCCGGAGCGAAACGGGGCGCGUGAAUAUCGCGCUCUACUGACGGUACCGGAAGAAUAAGCACCGGCUAACUACGUGCCAGCCGCCGCCGUAA